RNAcentral lists this long non-coding RNA (1014 nucleotides) under Piliocolobus tephrosceles (Ugandan red Colobus). RNAcentral's name for it is "lncRNA (ENSPTEG00000008241.1)". The record is from RNAcentral. Lineage: Eukaryota; Metazoa; Chordata; Mammalia; Primates; Cercopithecidae.
AUGGAUUUGAAAAACGCAGAAUGUAUAUGGGACUCUUUAAAUGAACUGCACAAAAAUGAUAAACAGGCAUAUGAAAAAUUCAUGAAAAAGCAUAUGGACGAAAUGUCCCAAAUGAAACCUAUUAAACCGAAAUUUGGUUAUUGUGUAAUGACGGAUGUAGAAAAGGUUUCUAUAUGUACCCAAACAAAUGAAUAUACUGAAAAAUUGUGUAAUUAUUUUAUUUAUAUAUAUUAUACAAAAAAUAUGAAAGAGCCUAUACUUCCAUCAUCGUUAUUUGAUAAUUUGGAUAAAAUUAAUUUUGAUCAUAUUUAUAUAAGUACUUGUAAAAUUAAAGGAGAAUCAUCUAAGGAUAUGUAUGCAGAAGCAGUUAUACAUUCGAUUAUAUAUAAACAAAUGAAUAAUGUUAAAUUUAAAAAUAUUAUUACUACUCAUAUACUUGAAACGAUCAAUGCUAACCAUAUAACAUUAAAAGAUAAUAUCAAAGUUAAUAUAAAUUCAUUUAAAUAUAUAGAGUUAGAUUAUAUUCCUAAAACAACACAUUUUUUAAAUCCGCAUUGUAUAAAUUAUACUACAACCGAUAAUAAUAAUAUUAACAGUAAUAAUAAUAGCAAUAAAAAUUCUGUUAUUGAUGAAAAUGAUAUAAAAUUUUAUAAUAUAUUAAAUGAAAAACAAAAUAAAAUAAAUAAUAAUAAUUAUGAGGAUGUAAAAAAAAAUAAACCAAUAAAAUUACAUGAUACGUCAAACGAUAUUUUAAAUGAGAUACAAACAGUAAGAACUACUAAAAAAUCAAAAAAUGAUGCAGUUAAUUUAAUUAAUAUACCCAAACAAGUAAAAUCAUAUAAUUACACCAUAAUUGAUAGGUACGAUUUAUUUUAUCCCCUCUUAAAACGUUAAGUAUAUACACCUGUGUAUAUAUAUGUGCGUAUGUAUGUAUGUAUAUAUAUAUAUAUAUAUUUGUUCACUUGUUACGUUUAUCACUUAUUAUUCAAAAAAGAGUUAUUUUACAAAAACCCA